GAGGGUAUAGCUCAGUGGUAGAGUGCAUGCUUAGCAUGCCCCGGGUCCUGGGUUCAAUUCCGGGUACUUCCA
This 72-nucleotide transfer RNA is filed under the name Camelus bactrianus (Bactrian camel). It matches the Rfam family "tRNA". Rfam says of the family: Transfer RNA (tRNA) molecules are approximately 80 nucleotides in length. Their secondary structure includes four short double-helical elements and three loops (D, anti-codon, and T loops). Further hydrogen bonds mediate the characteristic L-shaped molecular structure. tRNAs have two regions of fundamental functional importance: the anti-codon, which is responsible for specific mRNA codon recognition, and the 3' end, to which the tRNAs corresponding amino acid is attached (by aminoacyl-tRNA synthetases). tRNAs cope with the degeneracy of the genetic code in two manners: having more than one tRNA (with a specific anti-codon) for a particular amino acid; and 'wobble' base-pairing, i.e. permitting non-standard base-pairing at the 3rd anti-codon position. The record is from Rfam by way of RNAcentral. RNAcentral also lists the same sequence under 2 other names. Lineage: Eukaryota; Metazoa; Chordata; Mammalia; Artiodactyla; Camelidae.